UGAUAUUCGCGCUCUGUCCAAGUCUCGUCGUCUCCAAAAAAAAUCAGAAUUCCUUGCAAAAAUCUUUACAUUUCUCGAGCAUUCGUGCAAAAAGACCAUCAAGAAUGUUAUGGAAAACAUUCUCACUCGAGCUUUAUGACGCUGAGGAAAGCAGGGUUGACACUAAUCCGGCUUAGUGCUCCCAUUUUUUAAGUUGCUAAUUAAGAAGAUCUUAAGUUACGAUUGGUAAAUAUUGUCGUAGAAGCUUCUUCUCAGACAAUUCCUGCAAGCUUGCGAAGAAAGCUGUUUCUGCAAAAUGCAAGAGCGUCGGCGUUGCCAAAACACGAUACAAGCGGAAACACUCAUCGCUAUUCUAUUGCAAGGAGUUCUAUUUAUUCGAUCAGGUGCUGUAUAUACGGAAUACCAAUUCCGUUAAUUGCGUCCGUAGACUAUGUCGCGCUCUAUAUAUACCUGGCACAUACUCAAUAUACUAUUUCAUUCGCACGGACAGUAUGUUGACGAAUGACAAAUACGUUUCGGUCGAAAGAGAGUGAGAUUGACGUGAGAUUAAAUGCUUUCAAGUAUUACUUCAUGCAGCCGAAAUAGUUAAUCGUGAAAAUAAGAAGAGUGUUCUCUGAAUUAAGAGCAGUUACUUUCGAGAAGAAGCGCAAGGAGAACAAACUUUUAAUCGCGAAAUAAACGAUUAAUGACUUGGGCAAGUUAUUCUCUUUGGAUUGAUCUUUUUGCGGCAAAGAACAUGCGCUGCAGCGAUAAUAAUUUAUUGUUUUAAGCUGCUUACUUAGACUUUGCUAUCUCGGAAGGGUUAAACUGAUGAUGGUAUGACGGCUACAUAAUAUGAAUAAUAGAAUGUGUAGA
Long non-coding RNA from Trachymyrmex septentrionalis, 855 nucleotides. RefSeq lists it as uncharacterized. The transcript is spliced from 3 exons. NCBI's taxonomy places the organism in Eukaryota, Metazoa, Arthropoda, Insecta, Hymenoptera, Formicidae. The record is from RefSeq and is a predicted model, not a curated record.